GACGAACGCUGGCGGCGUGCUUAACACAUGCAAGUCGAACGGAAAGGCCCUGCUUUUGUGGGGUGCUCGAGUGGCGAACGGGUGAGUAACACGUGAGUAACCUGCCCUUGACUUUGGGAUAACUUCAGGAAACUGGGGCUAAUACCGGAUAGGAGCUCCUGCUGCAUGGUGGGGGUUGGAAAGUUUCGGCGGUUGGGGAUGGACUCGCGGCUUAUCAGCUUGUUGGUGGGGUAGUGGCUUACCAAGGCUUUGACGGGUAGCCGGCCUGAGAGGGUGACCGGCCACAUUGGGACGGGGAUACGGCCCAGACUCCUACGGGAGCCAGCAGUGGGGAAUAUUGGACAAUGGGCGCAAGCCUGAUCCAGCCAUACCGCGUGGGGGAAGAAGGCCUUCGGGUUGUAAAGCCCGUUUGUUGGGAAAGAAAAGCAGCAGGUUAAUACCCCGCUGUUCUGACGGUACCCAAAGAAUAAGCACCGGCUAACUUCGUG
Molecule: ribosomal RNA, 488 nt
Filed under: uncultured bacterium
Lineage: Bacteria
Description: partial 16S ribosomal RNA
Rfam family: Bacterial small subunit ribosomal RNA
Source: RNAcentral